UUGAGAAUAUUUUUGCUGUUCUGAUUUUGUAAUAAUCAGGACAGGUCAAACAUUCGCUAUAAUAAUACUAUGCAUGUGUCCCCAGACCUAGUUUUGUACCUGCCUAAGUCUGGUCUUAGAAAUGCUGGUGAUAAAU
Molecule: small nucleolar RNA, 136 nt
Organism: Sorex fumeus (smoky shrew)
Lineage: Eukaryota; Metazoa; Chordata; Mammalia; Eulipotyphla; Soricidae
Product: small nucleolar RNA SNORA72
Exons: 1
Source: RefSeq, a predicted model, not a curated record